GCAAUCAAGAAGUCAAUACUUACUCAUAUAAUAUUUCAACGCUAUCUUAAGCAGAAAGAGAGUAUAAAAAGUGCUAUUUUUUCCUCUUUUCUGAUGACCUUGACUUUUGACCUUGACCUAAUUUUCAAGGUCAAAGGUCACCGAUCCUAUUCCAGUUGGUCCCAUGUCUCUACGACAAACCGUGCUCAAGCUCGACAUGUUUUACGAAUAUAUCGCAAAACAUAAAGAGGCAUUAACUCCCUUUAGGGGACACCGAAUCCCUUCAUUUUAAAUUCUUCGCUUCUACUAAUUACCCUCUAUGUUUUAGAAAAGGUUUCAUCCUCCUAUCAUUUACGGUUACAAAGUAGAAGUGCUAACAAUGAUUUCUGCGAAAGGUCAAAUAACUCCGUAAGGGGUCAAAGUUCAAUUACGCAGGGUGAACUGUAUUCGUUUCUCAAGAAGUACUAUAUGAUGGACUAUAAAGUUUUUCGAUAAGUCUUAAGACGAAGAUUUUUUUUGACGGCAGGAAAAUAAUAAUAAUAACUAGUGAUCCUAAUUGUUCGCGAACAAUUAGAGGGCUUCCCACCUUCUAGCGGUUUUUCAGUAGUGUUGAAAUGCUAAAAGCCCCCCCCCCCCUACCCCAUCCCACCCUCACCCAAAAAAAAAAAAAAAAAAAAAAAAAAAUGAUUUGGCUAGAAAAGAAAUUCAAAUUUGCCGCCUAAAUUUGAGUGUUGAGGUGUGUUCAAUGCUUGGUUUCGCAUUAAGUACCCGUCAAAUUUGAGGGAGAAAAGGGGUGUGGGUGUUGGGUAGCCAGCACAUAUGCACAUAUCAGGUAAAAGUGUAAUGGGACUUGUGCAGGUGUUUGGGGUGACUUUAGACCUGUUAGAUGUGAUAUUUGGAGGUGCAAAGAAACCGGAUGUGCCAUUUUCCUAGAUUGUAGUAACUGCUGGUGCAUGCUGGGAGUCUAUACAAGCCUCAUGUUGUCAGAUGUUGUGAAGAUGCACUGGAUUUGACCGUGUGUGUUGUGGAUUGUGGAAUUGAAUAUACAGUUUGUAAUGGCUCAUCCUAUGUGUUCUAAUUCACGGAGACAAUGUCUUUCAGUCAUUUCACCCAAGGAGGCAUGCGUAUACGGAUUGAUAGGCUUUGACAACAAACAACCAAAAUGGCGGCCGGUGAAUUAGAAAGUGUCUGAGUGCAUGUAGGAUAUCUGAACGGAGAAUAGGAGUACUGCAUCCCAUCUGAUCCUGCAGUAACUGCUGGUGCAUGCUGGGAGUCUAUACAAGCCUCAUGUUGUCAGAUGUUGUGAAGAUGCACUGGAUUUGACCUCAUUUCACCCAAGGAGGCAUGCGUAUACGGAUUGAUAGGCUUUGACAACAAACAACCAAAAUGGCGGCCGGUGAAUUAGAAAGUGUCUGAGUGCAUGUAGGAUAUCUGAACGGAGAAUAGGAGUACUGCAUCCCAUCUGAUCCUGCAGGUAAGUGUUUAUUUGUUUACAAUGACAGUCAGGGUGGAAUGUCAAUGAGUUCAACUGUCAAGUAAAGUUGCAUCAUCAUUAUAAAAAAAAAAAA
Long non-coding RNA from Ostrea edulis (European flat oyster), 1547 nucleotides. RefSeq lists it as uncharacterized. The record is from RefSeq and is a predicted model, not a curated record. Lineage: Eukaryota; Metazoa; Mollusca; Bivalvia; Ostreida; Ostreidae. The transcript is spliced from 3 exons.